UAAGACGGAGGGUGCAAGCGUUGUUCGGAAUUACUGGGCGUAAAGGGCGCGUAGGCGGUCCGCUAAGUUCGGUGUGAAAUCCCCCGGCUCACCUGGGGAAUUGCGUCGGAAACUGACGGACUAGAGUACCGGAGAGGAAGGUGGAAUUCCUGGUGUAGCGGUGAAAUGCGUAGAUAUCAGGAGGAACACCGGUGGCGAAGGCGGCCUUCUGGACGGAUACUGACGCUGAGGCGCGAAAGCGUGGGGAUCAAACAGGAUUAGAUACCCUGGUAGUCCACGCUGUAAACGAUGGGAACUAGGUGUGGGGGGUAUUGACCCUCCCGUGCCGUCGCUAACGCACUAAGUUCCCCGCCUGGGGAUUACGGCCGCAAGGUUA
This 376-nucleotide ribosomal RNA is filed under the name uncultured bacterium. Its description in RNAcentral is "bacterial SSU rRNA". It matches the Rfam family "Bacterial small subunit ribosomal RNA", at positions 521 to 896 of the family's 1533-position model. The record is from RNAcentral.